Molecule: ribosomal RNA, 1955 nt
Filed under: human gut metagenome
Description: bacterial LSU rRNA
Rfam family: Bacterial large subunit ribosomal RNA
Source: RNAcentral
AAGGACCCCGGGAGGGGAGUGAAAGAGAACCUGAAACCUUGUGCUUACAAACAGUCAAAGGCCUACGGGCUGAUGGCGUACUUUUUGUAGAACGGUCCGGCGAGUUACUAAUGCCAGCGAGGUUAAGAUGUCAGAAGCAUCGGAGCCGAAGGGAAACCAAGUCUGAAUAGGGCGUAGAGUUGGUAUUAGUAGACCCGAAACCGGGUGACCUAUCCAUGUCCAGGUUGAAGGAACCGUAAAAGGUUUUGGAGGACCGAACACACAUGUGUUGAAAAACGUGGUGAUGAGGUGUGGAUAGCGGAGAAAUUCCAAUCGAACUCGGAGAUAGCUGGUUCUCCUCGAAAUAGCUUUAGGGCUAGCCUCGAGCUGGAGUCUAACGGAGGUAAAGCACUGAACUGACGCGGGGCCCAAAAAGGUUACCAACUCAUAUCAAACUAAGAAUGCCGUCAAGAUACCCUCGGGAGUCAGUCUGCGUGAGAUAAGUCGCGUGGACAAAAGGGAAAGAGCCCAGACCGACAGCUAAGGUCCCAAAGUACGUGUUAAGUGGAAAAGGAUGUGGGAUUUCAUAGACAACUAGGAUGUUGGCUUAGAAGCAGCCAUACAUUUAAAGAGUGCGUAAUAGCUCACUAGUCGAGAAAACCUGCGCCGAAAAUGUAACGGGGCUAAAACACGACACCGAAGCUACGGAUUUCCUACUAGGUAGGAAGUGGUAGAGGAGCAUCCUGCAAGGACGAAGCCAAAGUGAGAGCGAUGGUGGACGAAACAGGAGAGAGAAUGCCGGAAUGAGUAGCGAGAUACAUGUGAGAAACAUGUAGGCCGAAUAUCUAAGGAUUCCUGGGUAAAGCUAAUCUUCCCAGGGUUAGUCGGGGCCUAAGGCGAGGACGAAAGUCGUAGUCGAUGGAUAACAGGUUGAUAUUCCUGUACUACACAUAAUCAGAACUGUGGGGACGCAGGAGGAUAGGGAAACCGGGGAAUGGAAAGACCCGGUCAAGCGUAAAGCUGUGGGAGAUAGGCAAAUCCGUCUCCUGUAAGUGAAACGUGAUGAGGACUGAAAAAAAGUAAGGAAGUUUCCGAAUCCACACUGCCGAGAAAAGCCGCUAUUGCGUUAUGUGUACCCGUACCGUAAACCGACACAGGUAGAUGAGGAGAAAAUCCACAGGCCGACGGGAGAAGUGUUGUUAAGGAACUCGGCAAAAUGACCCCGUAACUUCGGGAUAAGGGGAGCCUCGCAAGAGGCCGCAGAAAAGAGGCACAAGCAACUGUUUAGCAAAAACAUAGGUCUAUGCGAAACCGUAAGGUGAAGUAUAUGGGCUGACGCCUGCCCGGUGCUGGAAGGUUAAAAGGAGAGGUCAGCGCAAGCGAAGCUUUGAAUUCAAGCCCCAGUAAACGGCGGCCGUAACUAUAACGGUCCUAAGGUAGCGAAAUUCCUUGUCAGGUAAGUUCUGACCCGCACGAAAGGCGUAAUGAUUUGUGCACUGUCUCGACAACACGCCCGGUGAAAUUGAAGAACCAGUGAAGAUACUGGUUACCCGCAACAGGACGGAAAGACCCCAUGGAGCUUUACUGCAGCCUGAUACUGGGAUUCGAUGAUAUAUGUACAGGAUAGGUGGGAGGCUAAGAAGCGAGAACGCUAGUUUUCGUGGAGCCGCCGGUGGGAUACCACUCUUAUGUCAUUGAAUUUCUAACCUGCAUCCGUAAUCCGGAUGAGGGACAAUGUCAGGCGGGCAGUUUGACUGGGGCGGUCGCCUCCUAAAAGGUAACGGAGGCGCUCGAAGGUCACCUCAGAAUGAUUGGAAACCAUUCAAAGAGUGUAAAGGCAAAAGGUGGCUUGACUGCGAGAGCGACGGCUCGAGCAGGUACGAAAGUAGGACUUAGUGAUCCGGUGGUAAUAAGUGGGAAUGCCAUCGCUCAACGGAUAAAAGCUACCCUGGGGAUAACAGGCUUAUCUCCCCCAA